RNAcentral lists this unclassified non-coding RNA (357 nucleotides) under soil metagenome. Its description in RNAcentral is "partial contains 5.8S ribosomal RNA, internal transcribed spacer 2, and large subunit ribosomal RNA". The stretch from base 1 to 120 matches the Rfam family "5.8S ribosomal RNA", at positions 35 to 154 of the family's 154-position model. The record is from RNAcentral.
GAUGAAGAACGUAGCGAAAUGCGAUAAGUAAUGUGAAUUGCAGAAUUCAGUGAAUCAUCGAAUCUUUGAACGCACAUUGCGCCCGUUAGCAUUCUAGCGGGCAUGCCUGUCCGAGCGUCAUUUCAACCCUCAGGGUCCCCGUUCCGGCGGGGAACCUGGUGUUGGGGAUCGGCCCGCCCCGUGCGGCGCCGUCCCCCAAAUUCAGUGGCGGUCUCGCUGCAGCCUCCCCUGUGUAGUAGUUACAACCUCGCAUCGGAGCUCAGCGCGGCCACGCCGUAAAACCCCCGACUUUCUGAACGUUGACCUCGGAUCAGGUAGGAAUACCCGCUGAACUUAAGCAUAUCAAUAAGCGGAGGA